ACAGCAACCGGACCAGGCAUCGAGGCUAAAUGCAGCUCUUCACAGCUGGAGUGCUCCGCGAUCCCACCACAGGGACGUUAGUGCUUGUACACUGUCUGUUGCUUUGCUUGGGAUGAGGGACCUGAGAAGACGUCCCACACAGCUUCGCUGCCUAAAGCGAAGUGCCAGGUCCAGUUACCAGGAGGACAGAGCGGGCUCCUUAAAAGCCUUCCAACAAGGGCUCCUUUGCAAGUCCUGGAGUGCUCUCCCAGGGGGGAGCUCAGACCUGCCGCAAGCCACUCUGAUCUGACCUGCCUCUACCCGGUGCGGCUCACCCGGAGGCCCCCAAGCCUCCGUCCCCCUUCUCUUCCUCCCGUUCGGCCGCUGACCAGCACCACGGGCAGCUGGAAGGCCGGGGUCCCACGGCGCAGGGAGGCCCGCGGGCCCGCUUUCUGCGCCGCGGCCUGAGCUCACCCACCUGAUGCUCCUUCACCACUUCGCUGAGGCACGGGUACCGCUCCGAGAUCCAUCGGUAAAACUUGGGGACUCCCAUUUUGACCGUCGACACUAAUUCCGGUCGGUGCAGAAACGAAACCAAACGCCCCGCCCGGGCCUCCGCCGCCGCCUCCGGCCGUCGCUCGGAGGAUGACAACACAAGGUCCGCCAGACCAUAGAGCAAACCGGGGGCCUAGAGGGGCAGGACGGCGCUGGUGGGCGGUGGGGCCUGUCUAUCCCGCUGCCUCACUCUUCCAUACUCGCUGGUGACAGCGCAAGAGGUGUGAUCUGCCCAUUAGCUAGAUCUACGGACUUUGUCAUCUUCCUGUGACAGCUGAUGGCAACCCAAAGAAGACAGGUCAUUGAAACCAAAAUUACCUUCUAAUCUUCCUCCAGAAUUGUAAAAGGAGAAAAAAUUUGAUGUUCUUAAAGAUGUAUCCAUUAGCCUUAAUUUACUCUCAAGGACCCACUCUAGUACUAUUUGUUGUAGCUGUUAUUUAGUUGCUAGGACCUGAAAUCAGGACCUAGAACAUACUGGGUAAGUACUCUUCUACUGAACUACCCUAGAUUGACUUUUUCUUUAACAUAGAUCAGACUUAAAUAGACUAUUUAAGUCUGUUCAAAUUUAAAAAUGUUAAACAACUCCAAUUUCAUGGAACUAAGUCUCUGUAAAAUGAACUGAUCUGCCCAAGUUCACAUAGCUAGUAACUAAGUCACGAUUAAAGUUCAGACUUUCCAUG
RNAcentral lists this long non-coding RNA (1214 nucleotides) under Mus pahari (shrew mouse). Its description in RNAcentral is "predicted gene, 16794 (MGP_PahariEiJ_G0002310.1)". The record is from RNAcentral. Lineage: Eukaryota; Metazoa; Chordata; Mammalia; Rodentia; Muridae.